UCAGGCCUAACACAUGCAAGUCGAGCGGUAGCGGGAAGAGCUUGCCCUUUGCCGACGAGCGGCGGACGGGUGCGUAACACGUAGGAAUCUGCCUGGUAGUGGGGGAUAGCCCGGAGAAAUCCGGAUUAAUACCGCAUACGCCCUACGGGGGAAAGGAGGGGACUCUUCGGAGCCUUUCGCUAUCAGAUGAGCCUGCGUCGGAUUAGCUUGUUGGUGGGGUAAAGGCCUACCAAGGCGACGAUCCGUAGCUGGUCUGAGAGGAUGAUCAGCCACACUGGGACUGAGACACGGCCCAGACUCCUACGGGAGGCAGCAGUGGGGAAUAUUGCACAAUGGGCGAAAGCCUGAUGCAGCCAUGCCGCGUGUGUGAAGAAGGCCCUAGGGUUGUAAAGCACUUUCAGUGGGGAGGAAAGGUUGAAGGUUAAUACCCUUCAGCUGUGACGUUACCCACAGAAGAAGCACCGGCUAACUCCGUGCCAGCAGCCGCGGUAAUACGGAGGGUGCGAGCGUUAAUCGGAAUUACUGGGCGUAAAGCGUGCGUAGGCGGCCACCUAAGUUGGAUGUGAAAGCCCCGGGCUCAACCUGGGAACUGCAUCCAAAACUGGGUGGCUAGAGUACGGGAGAGGAGUGUGGAAUUUCCUGUGUAGCGGUGAAAUGCGUAGAUAUAGGAAGGAACACCAGUGGCGAAGGCGACACUCUG
This 700-nucleotide ribosomal RNA is filed under the name uncultured bacterium. Its description in RNAcentral is "bacterial SSU rRNA". It matches the Rfam family "Bacterial small subunit ribosomal RNA", at positions 42 to 731 of the family's 1533-position model. The record is from RNAcentral.